Molecule: long non-coding RNA, 412 nt
Organism: Lolium rigidum
Lineage: Eukaryota; Viridiplantae; Streptophyta; Magnoliopsida; Poales; Poaceae
Exons: 3
Source: RefSeq, a predicted model, not a curated record
UUACACAAAGGUACCAACAAAUGUCGCAGCAAACUAUUGAAAAAUUUCACUUGUAUAUUUCUAGGUGUUCGGGUAGCACCAGGCCAUUCUCCAUUUGUUGUCCGGCCGGUGGAGUCAAGCGAAGUUCAGAUGUGGGAGCCCAGCUUCCAAGGUGUAGCAGACUGGAAGACAACCGCUGCUGUUUAACUUGUGUAUUUCAGGCUGUGCAAUUGUGUCUUUCGGAGAGUUCUUAAAUGUUGAUUUCGGGGAAGUUCUAUUUGUACAUAUCUGCAGUCCAUUUUUUGGCACAAAAUAGUUUCGCCGCUUUAUUUUUGUAUGUACAUGUUUAUCUUUCUUUUACAGCAUCAAGCGGUUCAACUAUUAACUUUGAGAAGUUUAAUUGAGAUGCAGGUUUGCGCCGCCAUUGACUUCC